Molecule: non-coding RNA, 3350 nt
Organism: Oryctolagus cuniculus (rabbit)
Lineage: Eukaryota; Metazoa; Chordata; Mammalia; Lagomorpha; Leporidae
Source: RefSeq, a predicted model, not a curated record
UGCUUUAAUUUUAUUUUGUAUUUUUAAAGUAGAACACAUCUGUGCUCAUUUGUAAGUUGAAGAGGAGAGACCAGUAGAGAAGGAGAAACUGAGUACAGAGGAAAAUGAGAUAACGCAUGAUGGAGAAAGGUUGCAGAUUCUACGGAAUAACUGAAUGUGUGUAGCCCCAUGUUAAGAAGGCAAAGAAGGCUCUGUCAUAUGCUGAUUAGUCUUGUACAUUUGCUAUAGCAUAGUUCCCAUCCUAGAACCCUAAGAAGUCCUUGAUGCUGCUUUGAAACCAAGCUUCCAGCCUAUACCAACACCGAGACAUGGACUAACAGGACGAGGCCAGCAUAGCCCCAGUUCCCAUUCAAGAUCUUAAGAAAUGCAUUCUGCCUUUUGACCAUCCUGUUUCUGCAUUACCUAUGGACAUGAAUUUAAAUGAGUCAGAGGGCUAUCUCAUAAAGAUGGUGGUUAUUUUCAAAUGGGUCCAUUUGAAAAUGUGUUUCAGUAUUUGCUUGUUUUUUUGUUAACUGUUUUCAUAAUUUUCUCUCACCAAGUUGCUAACUGUUAUAUAAUGACCUCAAGAAGGUAUUAGGGGAAAGGAGGAAAAAGAGAUCAAUAGGAAAUUUCCAAAAUGAGUUAACAUCUAAUUACUUUACAUUUUCCCCAAAGUCAAUCAGGUAAAUUUAUGGAAGUUGUUUUUGUAGUUAACUUAAUUAAGAAAACAUGGUACCCAAAAUGAUUGAACAGUUGCCUCAAUCCUCAGAUGACUUGACACAGACCCAGGAUUAGAAGAGUCUUCUGAUUCCCACAGUAGAAGUAAUGCAUUUACUACCAUUGCUACAGCACACCGUACUGCCUGACAGUUACUGCUGCUCAGCUUUCCAAAUGGCACAAUCAGUGUCUGGAUCUGUUUACAAUACCAGUCUCCUUCAUGGCUGAGGAAAAUCGUGAUGGUGGGAACCAAAAGCCACUUAAGUCCAGCAAUGGUAAAUACAAGAAAUAGCCAUGACUGUCUCAGGUUAGAAAAAGAUUGAACUUUUUAUACUGGAACAUUACACUGUUCUCUGAGAGGCCUUGAUAAUGCUUAACAUUUAUUAACAGCAGUCAAGUGGCUGCUCUCCAAAAUCCCUGUUUAUGGCAAUGAUUACACAUGAGCCCUGACAAUAUUCUUAAAGGACAAUAGAGUGAAAAGGAAAAAAGUCGAGUGUUCUCUAGCCUUGGUACCAGUUUUGCAGGCAAUGUAUUCAGCAGCUCACUCUCUGCUCCACAAUGCACAUCACUGAGUUGGUAAACUAGAGUUUUUAUAGAGAUCAAGAGAAAUUUUCAUUCCAGCCUAGCCAUGGAAAUGCCGCCAAAAUCUGAAAGCCUGAACUCUGCAGCAAUGAGAGAACAGUUGGUUUCUGCAUCUGAAAUAGGCUCUGGCAAUGGUGUUGCAUGUAGCUAGGUCCCAUUUUGCAAAAUAGAAGCCAUUAUCUUUAGCAUAUCAACCAGACAAAAUUAAAUUGUAAUUACAUGGAGACAUCCAAAAGCAAGCUAUUUUGUCUUCAGUUAAAUUCAAAGAAGUGUAAUCGAGAUUACCAAUUUCAAAAGAAGUUUAGACAGGCAAUAAAUAUGGUUAGAAGAAACAUGAAAUUAGAAAUUUAAAGAAUACCAGUCUGAAUUUUAAUGACUGGUAAAUAAUAUUUUAGGAACCCAAGUAAUGUACUGUAUUGAAUUCUUUCAGCUAUAGAUUAUGGAAAAGAUAUGUGAAUUUUCUGCAAAUUUCAUUGAUAUAUUAAGCAACUUCUUUCAUUACCACAGCUUUUCAUUUGCUUUUUAAGAAGUAAAUAUAAAUAUUUGUACUUGUAAAAUGUUGUAAGGAGCCAAUACACUGUGAAAAAAUUGCUUACUCUUCACCCCCAACCAAAAAUAGAUGAAUGCCACUUUCCUCUGCAAGACUCUUUACUAUGAGAAUUAGACCUCUGCUGUGGGAGAAAAAUAUUUUUUAAAUCGGAUCAGUCACUGUGGAGACUUUGAAAGAAUAGCUUGUAUCUAUUUAAGAUGGCCAAGAAGAAAAGUUCAUACGCCAGUGCAUUUCCCAAUAAUGAAGUCCUUUCCAAGGGGAAUGUCAGUGGUUUUGUGUUUUACAGCCACCUGAUUACAUUCUGACCAAAGGAGUUAAUAGCUAGUUACAAUUCUAACCUACCAGAAUUGAAAGUGAACUGCAAAUGAGUUUUUAAGAAGUCUACCUAUUUCAGCAACGUCUGAUGAAGCACUUGCCCUGGCCGAGGUAAAAUGGGAAUCAGCAAUUCCCCUUCAGAGCAACCCUGUGUUCUCUUUAUCAGCUCUAAAGAUGAGCAAUCUGGCUCCUUCCCAAGUUCGGUUGCCACAGUGGAAUAUGGUGGCAAAGUCAUUUUCACCAACCUCCCCAAAGUCCAUUUAAGCAUGUGUAACAUACGCACAGACAUGUACCUAAACUAUGGAGGAGAGAGACAGAAAUUAAAUAACACUUUGAAAAAAAAAAUCAGAUAACAUGAAAGAAUCCAACAGGAAUUUUAAGUGUCAGGUUGUUCACUUUAUGACUAAUGCUAACAUUAUAUUCACAAGGAGAGAGUGUAGUCACUUCCACACAUCCUUAUUUUGGUGUAAAUGUCAUGAAUAAGGCAAUGGCAGGAGACACUCUGAAGUCAGGUGUUUCUCAUGCUCUCCUUUGUUAGUAGCAUCUUUCCAUAGCAUUAUGCAGAAGCCUUUCGAUUUCAGUUGCACAAAGGAAGAAUUUGAAUAUCUUAUUCCUUUUAGAGAGCUUCAGAUCCAAGGGUGAAUACCUCCCUUUGUGCCAAUGAGGUCACACAUAGACAUACAUUUAACACUGCUUUGACAGAAUCAGGCCCUGUUUGCCUCGUGCAUGCAUAACCCUAGCCUCUCCUUGACUGACCUUUUGUAAUCAGCGUUUUCUUCUCUCCAACUAUUUGUUCCCCAGUUCCUGUCUGCCCUGUAGCACAAAUCCAGUUACUAAUGCUGCCAGAAGGCCUGACACUUACCACCUCUAUCAAGCCAAUUUAGUUACAGAGAGAGAGAGCUCUUCCAUCAGCUGGUCCACUCCCCAAAUGCCCACAAUAGCUGGAGCUGAGCCGAUCUGAAGCCAGGAGCCAGGGUCCUCCUCUGGGUCUCCCAGUGUUUUGAUCUGGGCUAGCCCUGUGACUUGCUGUGGGCCAACAGAUGAAAUGUGCCAUCGAUGAAUGCAGUUCUCAAGAAAACAUGUAUUUCUGCUUGCUUUCUGCCAGUCUUCUCCAUUAAAACAUGCCUGUGCUAGGUGGCUGGAGGAUGGGACACAUGAAACAGAGGUGAGUUGCCCCAGUCAUUCUGACUAAACUCUUUUAAACCAG